GCCUGCAGCUGUACCACCAUGUGCUCUGCUCCUAUCAGCUCUCAUAAGCUAAACAGGGUUGAGCGGGGCCAGUACUUGGCUAGGUGACCUCCAAGGAAGACCUAGGUGCUGCAAGAA
Molecule: non-coding RNA, 117 nt
Organism: Chelonia mydas (Green sea turtle)
Lineage: Eukaryota; Metazoa; Chordata; Testudines; Cheloniidae
Source: Rfam